UACGUAGGGUGCAAGCGUUAAUCGGAAUUACUGGGCGUAAAGCGUGCGCAGGCGGUUUUGUAAGUCUGAUGUGAAAUCCCCGGGCUCAACCUGGGAAUUGCAUUGGAGACUGCAAGGCUAGAAUCUGGCAGAGGGGGGUAGAAUUCCACGUGUAGCAGUGAAAUGCGUAGAGAUGUGGAGGAACACCGAUGGCGAAGGCAGCCCCCUGGGUCAAGAUUGACGCUCAUGCACGAAA
RNAcentral lists this ribosomal RNA (235 nucleotides) under uncultured bacterium. Its description in RNAcentral is "partial 16S ribosomal RNA". It matches the Rfam family "Bacterial small subunit ribosomal RNA", at positions 524 to 758 of the family's 1533-position model. The record is from RNAcentral.